RNAcentral lists this ribosomal RNA (435 nucleotides) under Sigara lateralis. Its description in RNAcentral is "partial large subunit ribosomal RNA". It matches the Rfam family "Archaeal large subunit ribosomal RNA", at positions 1921 to 2592 of the family's 2987-position model. The record is from RNAcentral. Lineage: Eukaryota; Metazoa; Arthropoda; Insecta; Hemiptera; Corixidae.
GUCCUUUUGAUUUUUAUUUAAGGUCUGACCUGCCCACUGAUUAAUUUAAUGGCCGCGGUAUUUUGACCGUGCAAAGGUAGCAUAAUAAUUUGUCUUUUAAUUGAAGGCUUGUAUGAAUGGUUGGACGAGAAAACUACUUUCUUUAUAAUAGAUUAAUUAAUUUUAUUUUUUAGUUAAAAAGCUAAAAUAUUAUUGUAGGACGAGAAGACCCUAUAGAACUUUAUAAUUAUUUUUAUAUUAAUAUAUUUGGUUUAUAAUAUAUUAUAUUUUUAUAAUUAUUUUGUUGGGGCGACAAGAAAAUUUAUUUAACUUUUUUUUAUAUAUUUCAUUAAUUAAUGUACAAAUGAUCCUAUAUUAUGGAUAACUAGAAUAAGUUACCUUAGGGAUAACAGCGUAAUUUUUUUGGAGAGUUCUUAUCGAUAAAAAAGUUUGCGA